RNAcentral lists this ribosomal RNA (872 nucleotides) under Rahnella aquatilis. RNAcentral's name for it is "bacterial SSU rRNA". It matches the Rfam family "Bacterial small subunit ribosomal RNA", at positions 521 to 1371 of the family's 1533-position model. The record is from RNAcentral. Lineage: Bacteria; Pseudomonadati; Pseudomonadota; Gammaproteobacteria; Enterobacterales; Yersiniaceae.
UAAUACGGAGGGUGCAAGCGUUUAAUCGGAAUUACUGGGCGUAAAGCGCACGCAGGCGGUUUGUUAAGUCAGAUGUGAAAUCCCCGCGCUUAACGUGGGAACUGCAUUUGAAACUGGCAAGCUAGAGUCUUGUAGAGGGGGGUAGAAUUCCAGGUGUAGCGGUGAAAUGCGUAGAGAUCUGGAGGAAUACCGGUGGCGAAGGCGGCCCCCUGGACAAAGACUGACGCUCAGGUGCGAAAGCGUGGGGAGCAAACAGGAUUAGAUACCCUGGUAGUCCACGCUGUAAACGAUGUCGACUUGGAGGUUGUGCCCUUGAGGCGUGGCUUCCGGAGCUAACGCGUUAAGUCGACCGCCUGGGGAGUACGGCCGCAAGGUUAAAACUCAAAUGAAUUGACGGGGGCCCGCACAAGCGGUGGAGCAUGUGGUUUAAUUCGAUGCAACGCGAAUAACCUUACCUACUCUUGACAUCCACGGAAUUCGCCAGAGAUGGGUUAGUGCCUUCGGGAACCGUGAGACAGGUGCUGCAUGGCUGUCGUCAGCUCGUGUUGUGAAAUGUUGGGUUAAGUCCCGCAACGAGCGCAACCCUUAUCCUUUGUUGCCAGCACGUAAUGGUGGGAACUCAAAGGAGACCGCCGGUGAUAAACCGGAGGAAGGUGGGGAAGACGUCAAGUCAUCAUGGCCCUUACGAGUAGGGUUACACACGUGUAGACAAUGGCAUAUACAAAGAGAAGCGAACUCGCGAGAGCAAGCGGACCUCAUAAAGUAUGUCGUAGUCCGGAUUGGAGUCAGCACCUCGACUCCACGAAGUCGGAAUGCGCUAGCUAAUCAGUACGCUCAGUAAGCUUCCGGUGGCCCGCCCAAAAAAAAAACGC